Passer domesticus (house sparrow) is the source of this 3216-nucleotide long non-coding RNA. RefSeq lists it as uncharacterized. Lineage: Eukaryota; Metazoa; Chordata; Aves; Passeriformes; Passeridae. The transcript is spliced from 3 exons. The record is from RefSeq and is a predicted model, not a curated record.
CCUGCUUUGCUCUGUUCCUGAUCACAUCUCACAGAAGCCACUAGAGAAAGUGUAUUUUCAUGCAGGCACUGGCACUGUGCCAGAGUCAAACCAUGACAGUGAUUCUGCUGCUACUGGCAUCCCUAAGGGUGAGGGGGUCUCUCACUUGGACAUCUGAUGCAAAACUGAUGGCAGCAGCAUGAAAAUUAAGGCAAAGCUCCAGAUGAUACGGUCCUCUCUGUCAAUGUGGAAAGACAGACAGAAUUUUUCAGCAGAUACUGCCUCAGAAGUUCAGGUCAGCUGCUACAUCACUCUGCCUGAAAGACAGCAAGACAGAGAGGCACAAUCACACACUGUCAAAGAUCUGGAACAUAUUUUAAACUGGAACAGCUCUCAAAGGAGGUAAACUUUAAGAGACAAAAUGACUCAGAGGAAUUACUGAUGGUUCUUGCAGUGCCUGUCAUUCGUCUGCUGUAAUGUGUUGUUUCUCCCUCAAACCGCUGAAGUCUUAUAACCAUGUAGUUACAACAAAACCCUAAGUUUUGCUCUUGCAUUACUAAUUUUAAAACACCAGGAUUCUGUAACAUCUCCUUAAUGUUUGGGAUUAUAUUCUGCUAAACCACUGUUAUUAUUAAUAAUAAUAAUUUUAAAAAUCUUGGUUAAAAAUUAUUUCUGAAUGCUUAAGAUAAAUGAGCAAAAACACCCAGAUCAGCAGAAUUUAGUCUGCAGAAUGUUUUCUGCUGCUGAGUAAAGGCAUAUACCACAUGCAUUAGUGAAUGUCUCAUACUAAGAAUAAGGUCACCUCCUUUGUACAUUUGUAUAAAGUCUCCUUUGGAAACAAAAUACUGGGAAUUCUUGUAAAUCUUGAUAAUGCACUGCUUGCUUGCAAAACUUGUGAUAAUACAUAAAUGCUUUCUACUUUCCUUAACCAAUUUAUACAUACUUUAAAAUAUUACAUUAAAGAAUUAAGAUCUACACUACAUUGUUUUAUAAUUUAAGAGCAAUAGUUAAUGCCAGGACUCUUGCUAUUUAAAAACAAAUAAGGUAUCAAAACAAACCCAACCAGCCUGCUAACCAAAUACAUUAUUUCAGUAGAGCCAAGGACUCACAAUAAUAGAAACAAUAAAUUAAUUGCUUAAGUUUCAGCUCUGUGAUCACCCUGACCUGCUGCAGAGGAAAUGAGGCCCACAAAACCUAUCAGAAAUUCCUCAGAUAUCAAAGGAUUGCACAGAAAAAGAGCAAAAAAGUCACUUUUUAUGCCCUCCUGGUCACUUUGCAGCAGAGAUGUGAGAAAAGGGAUGGUUGCAGAAGAGGGCACUGCAGAGCUUUUCUUGUUGGCUCAGGCGGGUUGUGGCAGAAAACCAAAUAGCUGUAAACAUACUUUAAUUUGUCUUUUCCCCCUGCCACUUCCACUCUUCCCUGGGAUUUUCUGUCAGACUUAGGUUCCUCUGUGAUAUGAUAGGACAGAAUUCCUAUACCUUUCUCUCAAGUCUUCCCUGUAGCUUAGCACAGGACCAGAAAUUACUAGUACUUUCUUCUUCAAUGUAUAGGAAGUAACUUCAAAGGCAAGACCAAAAGCAAAAACAGGGUAACAGCAUUUUAAAGCACUCUCAUCUCUCACCUGGGAAUACUAAGGAGCAAGUCGGCAUUAUCUUGUCCAUGCUUAUUAAUGAUUCUAAACCCUCAAUAUUUCACAUGUUAAACCUAUAACCACAAACCCAGUCCCUUUCAAGGGACAUACCAGGCAUCUGAUAACUUCUGAUAGUGAUACUGCCAUGGUGUGCUGUGGCAUCAUGACUACACUCAUGGCAUUGCAAUAGAGACUAGGGGGAAAAAAUUCACAUUCUCUUCCGUUAAGUCCUCAGCAUAGUGUUAAUAAAAUUACUAAAACACAGCAUACAAAGACAACACCUCAUCCCACUCUCCCCACUUACUUUAGCUCUCUGCUACCUGCUCCAUCACAUGCUUCAAAGGACUUCCAAGAGCCCUAAAUUUCUAAUCCUGAGCCUUCUGGCUCAGCCAUCCACAAGGCUGUCACUUAUACUCCUGAUCUGGUCUUUAUUCUUUAACAAACAGCUCAUUUGACACCCACGGCUUCUCCCUCAGCUACUUAAUUUACCUUCUCAACUUUAAUUUUACUGCAAGAAAAUUAAUAUAGCAUUUAAAGGAAAUGCAAUUUACUGUAACAAUACUUUCCAAAGGUUUUAAAGAAAUAUCAGGAGGAAAUCAGGGAAAAAAAAGUCUACAGCAGUCAAUCUGUUUGUAGAUCAAGAAGUUCCCCUGAGCACACAUGCAGUUAAUCUGCAAACAGAAAUGAGAAAAAUAUGGAACUAGAAUAGGCUGCUUUAUUGCAGCUUCAUUAAAUUUUCAAAUCUCUCUUGCUCCAAUGCGCUGUGGAAGAAAAGAGAGAAAGAGUCUUUUACAAGGAGCACUAUACAAUAGCACCAUGUCUGUAUGUCUCUAGAGGAGUUUUCAAAUCUGCUCAGGAAGACUGCCUGCAUUUUAAAAAAGUUGCUAGAAAUCUCAUAUAGCUGUUUUCAAUACAUAAUUUGGGAAGUGGUCUUGUUCUUAAGAUGGGGGUAAAUCAAUUAUCCUACCAGCUCAAAAGAAAUAAGUGGUAGGUCAGCCCUGGGGUGUCAUGUAAAUUUUCUCCUACAGUCUGGCAGAUAUUUUCAAAUAAAAGUCCAUCCACACUUCAACUUGUUUUUAUCUCAAGAACUUAUUUUUAUUACUAGAAUAGAUUCUGCAGUGGAACCAGCAAACCCAGUCAGAAGCUUAACCCAAGCAUGCUCAUCUCCUUUCUUGGCUCAUACAUUCAGGCUGUGCAUCAAGAAACAAGACAGCCAAGCCCCACCUCCUGCCCUUGAGACUCUCGAGACCUCAGGAGCCACAAACUGCCCACAUGUCCAGAGACUUAUGUUCUUCUGACAAACGAGAUCAUAUUUGGUUUAGUCACUUAAGACAUGCACUGAACAGCACAGAGCAGGAUAGCUCCUUUUCUGCAGACAUACUGAAACUCAUCUCAAGAGUCUGCAGCAGUGCUUUCUCAUGUUAAAGUACAAGGGUCUUCCCCCUCCUUAUGGUUAUGGAGAAGGAAGACACACUGGGACAAUCUUGCCUUUCAUCCCAAAAAGCUACACAUCUGCAUAGCCAGUACAUGUUACUGCAUUCUGCCUUUGCAGCCCGGCUGGGUACUUUGAGUCGCUGAGAGCACCUCGGGCCCCAGCCCAGCACGGC